AUGAGCCCCUGCCUCCUGGGCUGUGUGGUCUUCUGUCUCCUGCAGGCAGGGGCGGUCCAUGCAGGUGUCACUCAGGCCCCCAGAUUCCAGGUCAUGAGAACAGGACAGAACGCGACACUGAAAUGUACUCAGGAUCUGGGGCAUGACUGCAUGUGCUGGGACCAACAAGACCUGGGACACGGGCUGAGGCUGAUCCACCACUCAGCUGGGCCUCCCACCACUGAGAAAGGAGACGUGCCUGACGGGUACAGAGUCUCCAGAUCAAGCAAAGAGAACUUCCCUCUCACGCUGGAGUCUGCCAGCCACUCCCAGACAUCCGUGUACUUCUGUGCCAACAGUUACUCCACAGCGCUGCACGGCCACUUCCUCUCUGUGCAAAAAGACGGAUGA
Capra hircus (goat) is the source of this 390-nucleotide non-coding RNA. Lineage: Eukaryota; Metazoa; Chordata; Mammalia; Artiodactyla; Bovidae. The record is from the annotation of a RefSeq genome assembly.